Molecule: ribosomal RNA, 472 nt
Filed under: Pseudomonas sp. oral taxon 032
Lineage: Bacteria; Pseudomonadati; Pseudomonadota; Gammaproteobacteria; Pseudomonadales; Pseudomonadaceae
Description: bacterial SSU rRNA
Rfam family: Bacterial small subunit ribosomal RNA
Source: RNAcentral
AUUGAACGCUGGCGGCAGGCCUAACACAUGCAAGUCGAGCGGAUGAAGAGAGCUUGCUCUCUGAUUAGCGGCGGACGGGUGAGUAAUGCCUAGGAAUCUGCCUGGUAGUGGGGGAUAACGUUCCGAAAGGAACGCUAAUACCGCAUACGUCCUACGGGAGAAAGCAGGGGACCUUCGGGCCUUGCGCUAUCAGAUGAGCCUAGGUCGGAUUAGCUAGUUGGUGGGGUAAAGGCUCACCAAGGCGACGAUCCGUAACUGGUCUGAGAGGAUGAUCAGUCACACUGGAACUGAGACACGGUCCAGACUCCUACGGGAGGCAGCAGUGGGGAAUAUUGGACAAUGGGCGAAAGCCUGAUCCAGCCAUGCCGCGUGUGUGAAGAAGGUCUUCGGAUUGUAAAGCACUUUAAGUUGGGAGGAAGGGUUGUAACCUAAUACGUUGCAAUUUUGACGUUACCGACAGAAUAAGCACCGG